Molecule: unclassified non-coding RNA, 277 nt
Filed under: Glomus sp.
Lineage: Eukaryota; Fungi; Glomeromycota; Glomeromycetes; Glomerales; Glomeraceae
Description: partial contains 5.8S ribosomal RNA and internal transcribed spacer 2
Rfam family: 5.8S ribosomal RNA (bases 1-65)
Source: RNAcentral
GUGAAUCAUCAAAUUUUUGAACGCAAAUUGCACUCUCCUCGGAGAGUAUGCCUGUUUGUGGGUCAGCCUAUUAAAAAUCGACAUCGUUGCUGUUUCGUGGUGGCGUGCGUCGGAAAUUGGGGCAUCUUAAAUAAGUUUGAUUUAAGAGACUUAAAAUUUUAUUUUGGUUCCAUGAACGUUUAUAAGAUCUAGUUCUUUACACGUUUAAGGUAUCGACUUUUACUAGACGUGAUAAUCAUAUCGGAUCGCGUCCAAAAUACUUCAUUUAAUGACAUCA